RNAcentral lists this ribosomal RNA (486 nucleotides) under uncultured beta proteobacterium. RNAcentral describes it as "bacterial SSU rRNA". It matches the Rfam family "Bacterial small subunit ribosomal RNA", at positions 30 to 509 of the family's 1533-position model. The record is from RNAcentral. Lineage: Bacteria; Pseudomonadati; Pseudomonadota; Betaproteobacteria.
AUUGAACGCUAGCGGGAUGCCUUACACAUGCAAGUCGAACGGCAGCGCGGACUUCGGUCUGGCGGCGAGUGGCGAACGGGUGAGUAAUAUAUCGGAACGUGCCCAGUAGCGGGGGAUAACUACUCGAAAGAGUAGCUAAUACCGCAUACGCCCUACGGGGGAAAGGGGGGGAUCGCAAGACCUCUCACUAUUGGAGCGGCCGAUAUCGGAUUAGCUAGUUGGUGGGGUAAAGGCCCACCAAGGCGACGAUCCGUAGCUGGUUUGAGAGGACGACCAGCCACACUGGGACUGAGACACGGCCCAGACUCCUACGGGAGGCAGCAGUGGGGAAUUUUGGACAAUGGGGGAAACCCUGAUCCAGCCAUUCCGCGUGUGCGAUGAAGGCCUUCGGGUUGUAAAGCACUUUUGGCAGGAAAGAAAUCGCACAAAUUAAUACUUUGUGUGGAUGACGGUACCUGCAGAAUAAGCACCGGCUAACUACGUGCC